UUUUAUUUAGCUUUAAAUUUUGUCUACCAUAUUGAUAGAUCUAUUCAAUUUCUGGGAAGCAUAGAGAGAGGACAAAAAUAUCCUGUUUUGUAAGCUUUGAAUUGAGAAACGGUAGAAAUUAAAUAAGGGGAACAGUUUAUCUAUGAUGUAGUCAAUUAAAAUCAUUCUUAUAUUACCACCAAAUAUGUGUCUUUUGAGUGGAAUGAUGGAAUCUGGUCAUUUGUAGCAAAAUGAAUGAAACUAGACAUUUUGUUAAAUCAUCUCAUCUUGGAGGUUGGCUACCAUGCUCAGCCCACAAGGCAAUGGAUCAUAAAGGAGUGUGAAAUCCAAGAUGUAUUUGAACUAAGAUUCUCUAACAUCAAAGAAGCUUGUAUGAGGAUUGGAGAAAGAUUUUGAGAUGUUGUGAAAGCCCAGUGGUCCCCAUGGUUCCCAAUGAGCUGCUUUCCAGAAUGUAUCUGGCCAAGCCAACCGCCAUCUUUUCUGUUUGCUCAAUCUUAUCACGUGAUCGCAUACUACAAAAUCAUCUCAGCAAGAGUUCCACGUUAUGUACCAAAAAUAUCAUCUAUUUAUAGCAUCAAUUAUUUUAAAACCAAGCACCAGGAGUCAUAUUUUCAUGCGAUUAAAUAUCCUAUAGUUAUUUUAUAAAAUCUUGAAAUGGAUAUGUAUUUAUAAUUAACAGGGCUUUUUUGAGUGUUUAAUAGAUAUUUGUGAAUGUAUUAACAUUCCAAUUUUAAUAUGCUCCUUCUUACAAGCACGUCUUUUACCUCAAAGAAUUAUGAGACAAUGAAAAAAUGGGGAAAUGAUAGAUGUAAAAAAAUUUCAACGAGGAUCUCUUUCUUUUUGAAGCAAGAGUAAGAUGUACACUGAUAUUUCAUUUAAAUCUCCAUUAACCUGCUGAGAAGAUAGUUUCCUGUAGAGCACUGGAGGAGAAGAUGUAACUCUAGAAAAGUGAGGAUAAUGUUUGAAAUGCAAAGUCAAUAAAACAGACAUUAUUCCACCGACCUCUUGAGGUCUGUCUGAAGAUCAUUCUAAUUCUGAAGAUUGAAGGAUGUGUUCUUAAAGAUUCUAGAGGAAGAGCUGAACUCUUUUUUAUUCCUUUUCCUUGUCUUACUUCCCAGAUUCCUCCUACCCUGUUUACUACCUGGAUUCACCUUCAAUAUGAACUGUGUUUGAAUGCUAUUUCUGGGGGAAUCUAAGUUAAAAUCUUAAGUUUUAAAGGACAUUUAACAUAAGUGUUUCUUGGAAAUACAUUAACAAUUUACAAAGAGAAAACUGAAGAAUUGUGUCAGUAUCCUUUAUUAUGGAAAAGUUUGUUUGUUUGUUUGUUUUUAAACUGGGACAAAUAAACUGAGUCUGUAGGAAGUGUUGAGUAAUUGAGUGAGUUUGAGAUCUGAGGUUUACCUGAAUUAAAUCUCAUUCCUCACUCAGACAACUGAAUAGCAACUAACCAAAUAAUGCAAUUAACAAAUAAGCAAAUGAUCUGAACGGACGUAUUUUGCAAAAGAAGAUAUACAAAUGGCUAGAAAGUAUCUGAAAAAAUGCCCAACAUCAUUAGUUGUCAAAGAAAUGCCAACCAAAACCACAAGAGGAAAAUGCUCAUCUCAAUACUAAUAUAAUACUCAAAAGAAUUGAAGUCAUUAUGUCCAAGAGCUACCUGUACAUUCAUAUUUAUUGUGGACUCUUCCCAAAAACCAACAUACAGAAUCAAUCAAGAUGUCCAUCAAUGUAGGAAUGGGUAAAAAUGAGAUAUAUACACACAUAAUGGAAUAUUAUUCAGUGAUAGAAAGGAUGGGGUCAUCAUUUGUAGCAAAAUGAAUGAAACUAGAGGAUAUUUUGUUAAAUGUAAUAAACCAGUCACAGAAAUACCAAUGCUACACGUCCUCAUUUUUGGAAGUUAAAAAGUGUUGAUCACAUAGAAGUAGAGAGUAGAUAGAGGUCACGAGAAGACAGGGAGGGAAGUUUGAAGGGACAUAGUAAUUGGGUGGAUAAUGGGUGCCAAAACAUCAUUGUGGGGGAAGUAGUUCUAAAUGUUAUAUGGCAUAAUAAAUAAGGCAACUAUAGUCUAUGACAGUUAAUUAUAUGUUUAAGAAUACUAAAAAAGAAGAGAUAGAAGAUUCCCAAUGCAUGGGAAUGAUACCAUCCCAGGAGAUGGACAUGUUAAUUAACUAAUUUGAUCCUUACACAUUGUAUACAUGUAUCAAAUUACAACUCAAUAAAUAAGUACAAAUAUAUGUCAAUUUUAAAGUAAAAUAAAAAAUCUUAUUCCUUGUUCAACAUAUUUCUAUGUAGUUGGCUUGAAUUUAGAUAUUGCAGAUACAACCUUGAGCAAGGUAGGCAAAGUCUAGCCUCAUACACAGGAGACAACAGAAAAUUGCAAGUAAAGUGAACAGUCAAUGAACUCGUAGAGCAGUUUGUUGUAUGGAAAAAUAGAACAGAAUAACUGCAUAAUUUAUUAAUUAUUAACUGAUUUAUUAAUUCCUCUAGAGCAUAUUUAUAACCUACCAGUAUAAGAUAGUUAAACGCCAAUUUCUAAGAAACAUCAAACCACAUGAUUUCUAAUAGAAGUUUAAAAGAUGAAUAUUAUAUAUUGGGUUUCAAAAAUGGUGAUAAAAAUUGAACAAAAGGAUCGUUGUCUUUUUUUCAGUUUAAUACAAUUUUCUAGAAUGAAUUAUCAUGCUUGUAAUUUAUACAACUUUGAAAAAUACUAUAGAUAAUCUCUAGGAGCUUCCAUAUAUUCAUUCAAAACAAAUGAUGCCAAAUUCACAUGAUUUUCCAUUUCAUUAUAACCUCCAGAGAACAGGAAAUCCCAAGGAUCAAACACAUUUUAAUUACAUCAAUGCAUCUGAAAAUAUCUUUGUUGAGAAUUUCAUGGUUAAGUAGUGAAUUGAGUGAUAGAACUGUUGAUUUUAGUGACUUGAACAUAUGCUUGCUGUGUGUUAGUGAAAAGCUGUGUAGUUUUCUAAUGGAAUUUGAGUAUAGUUUUAGUUCUUUGGGCUCAAUAUUCCUAUUGAUAAUUUUGAUAAAGUUUUAAAAGGGAGAAUGUCUAGGUGGGAUGCCUAGCCAAACCGAUAAGUGAUUGACACAACAAAAAGGUGAUGUCAACUAACAGAGACACACUGGUCCAAAACCAGUGAAAUGAGAUUAAGCAGAAACAAGUUUCAAGUUCUGUUUAGGUUCAGCAAGUCAGCCACAUGAGAGUGAGCUGGCUUGGCCAUAGUACAGAUGGCAAAGUUCUGGGAUUUCCAUUUGAUGACAACCAUAAAAUAAGCCAAUAGUAUGAUGUGGCUGUUAGGAAAAUAGACUAGCACAAUCUUAGGUUGCAUUAGUGAAAUAUUGUGUCUAGCACAAUGGAAGCAGUAGAAAAGAACAUUUCACCAAAUUCUAUCCUAGUAAGCUGACUUAUGGAAUAAAGUGUCAAAUUCCUUGCAUUAUAUUUUAGGACUUCUCUAACUGAAAUGUGUUUGGAGGAAGGCACACAGAAUUCUGAAAAAAAAUUAUCUUUUCAGGCAAAUCUGUAUACAAAACAUUAUUUUCCUAUAGGAGAAAAGAUCAAACAGAUAUUUUCAGGGUGCCUUUGUUGGUGUUUAAGAAAUCAGAGAGGGUUCAUCUAGACUAUAAGUUUGAAGUUAGAAUGAGAUACUUACCCUAACAUGAAGAAAAAAGUAGUGUUUGCCAACACAUGGCUAACAUGUGAGAGGGGAUCCCUUGUACUAAAAUCUUUUAGUCCAAAAGAUUCAUCCAGAGUGAAAAUUCAGAUCAAUUAGCUUAUCAUUUUUCUAUCCUACAUUAAAAAAUUGCUCUGAAAUUUCUAGGGUUAAAACAUUUUUAUUUUGCUCAUGCUGUUAUGGCUCAGGACCUCAGAUUAUUUUUUCAUUUGAAGUGUCUCCAGAAAUGGCAGUAAUAUACCUAAUGGAGCUAGACCCACAUGAAGAAUUUACUGGGUUGGAUGCCUAAGGUGGCUCUCUUACCUGACUGAAAGGUUUUUCUGGCAGUUGGCUGAGAGCUCAGUUAGUGUUGCCAACUAGGGCGUGUACCUGUGGCCUCUUUCUUUGCCCUCAAAUUCCUUACAGCAUGUUUGCUUCAGAGUAGCUGGGAUUCUUGCAUAGCAGCUCAGAGAUUUAAAAUCAUAUGUCUCAGUGCACCUGGCAGAAGCUGUGUUACCCUAAUGGUAUAGCCUUAGAACCCAUGCUACUCAUUUCCUC
Molecule: long non-coding RNA, 4202 nt
Filed under: Marmota monax (woodchuck)
Lineage: Eukaryota; Metazoa; Chordata; Mammalia; Rodentia; Sciuridae
Source: RNAcentral